AUAGGACCCCAUAAAGACCACUUUAAGCCCCCAUAGAACCCCAUAGGACCCCAUAGAGCCUCAUAAAGACCCCAUAGGACCCCAUAAAGACCCCAAAAGACCCCAUAGAACCCCAUAGGACCCCAUAGGGACCCCAUAAGGACCCCAUAAGACCCCAUAGAGCUCCAUAGGAACCCCAUAGAGCCCCAUAGGACCCCAUAGAGCCUCAUAGAACCCAAUAAAGCCCCCAUAGAGCCCCAUAGGACCCCAUAAGGAUCCCAUAGAACUCCAUAAAGCCCCAUAAAGACCCCAUAGGACCCCAUAAGGACCCCAUACGACCCCCAUAGGACCCCAUAAGGACCCCUUUAAGCCCCAAUAGGACCCCAUAAAAACCCUUUAAGCCCUUUCAGACCCCAUAAGGACCCCAUAGAGCCCCAUAGAUUCCCAUAGGACCCCAUAAAGCCCCUUUAAGACCCCAUAGGACCCCUUUAAGGCCCCAUAGGACCCCAUAAUACCCCAUAAGGACCCCAUAGGACCCCAUAAAGCCCCCAUAGGACCCCUUUGAAGCCCAUAGGACCCCAUAAAGACCCCAUAGAGUCCCAUAA
Molecule: long non-coding RNA, 584 nt
Organism: Gallus gallus (chicken)
Lineage: Eukaryota; Metazoa; Chordata; Aves; Galliformes; Phasianidae
Source: Ensembl